RNAcentral lists this unclassified non-coding RNA (336 nucleotides) under soil metagenome. Its description in RNAcentral is "partial contains 5.8S ribosomal RNA, internal transcribed spacer 2, and large subunit ribosomal RNA". The stretch from base 1 to 120 matches the Rfam family "5.8S ribosomal RNA", at positions 35 to 154 of the family's 154-position model. The record is from RNAcentral.
GAUGAAGAACGUAGCGAAAUGCGAUAAGUAGUGUGAAUUGCAGAAUUCAGUGAAUCAUCGAAUCUUUGAACGCACAUUGCGCCCCUUGGUAUUCCAUGGGGCAUGCCUGUUCGAGCGUCAUUUGUACCUUCAAGCUCUGCUUGGUGUUGGGUGUUUGUCUCGCCUCUGCGUGUAGACUCGCCUCAAAACAAUUGGCAGCCGGCGUAUUGAUUUCGGAGCGCAGUACAUCUCGCGCUUUGCACUCAUAACGACGACGUCCAAAAGUACAUUUUUACACUCUUGACCUCGGAUCAGGUAGGGAUACCCGCUGAACUUAAGCAUAUCAAUAAGCGGAGA